UACGUAGGGGGCAAGCGUUAUCCGGAUUCACUGGGUGUAAAGGGAGCGUAGACGGCGACGCGAGUCUGGAGUGAAAGCCCGGGGCCCAACCCCGGGACUGCUCUGGAAACUGCGUCACUGGAGUACGGGAGGGGCAGGCGGAAUUCCUGGUGUAGCGGUGAAAUGCGUAGAUAUCAGGAGGAACACCGGCGGCGAAGGCGGCCUGCUGGACCGUGACUGACGUUGAGGCUCGAGAGCGUGGGGAGCAAACAGG
This 253-nucleotide ribosomal RNA is filed under the name uncultured bacterium. Its description in RNAcentral is "partial 16S ribosomal RNA". It matches the Rfam family "Bacterial small subunit ribosomal RNA", at positions 524 to 776 of the family's 1533-position model. The record is from RNAcentral.